Molecule: non-coding RNA, 3764 nt
Organism: Chelonoidis abingdonii (Abingdon island giant tortoise)
Lineage: Eukaryota; Metazoa; Chordata; Testudines; Testudinidae
Source: the annotation of a RefSeq genome assembly
AAUCUUAUAGAACAAUGGAGUUGUGAGACUCACGAGUGACUCCCCACCUCCAAGCUCUUGUGGGUUUUUUUCAUAGGGGACAAGGCAAUGAGGGCAGAAACGAACCUGAAAUAAUAGCUAGUGUAGAAGGGAAUUAAAUACAUAAUGUGAAUAAAUGAAGGAGGCUGGGCUGGGAAAGUCAGUGGGUUUUAGCCACCUGGGCCAUGAGUUCGAACCACUGUGACUACAAUGCUUUUGACUACUGGGGACAAGGAACAGUGGUGACCGUUUCCAGCGCGACCCCCACACCCCCCUCCGUCUUCCCCCUGGUUCCCUGCUGCACCAAGACUGGCAAUGCUCCCCCGGACACAAGCUUGGCCUGCCUCGUAACUGGCUAUUUCCCAUCACCAGUGGAGAUCAAGUGGAAUUCGGGCAAAGUGACCAAGGGGGUCACAACUUUCCCAGAGGUGACGAUGAGCAACGGGCGCUUCACCCAGAGCAGCCUGCUGAUCAUCCCUGCCAGGUCCCGGCAGGGCGACACCAACCAGUGCGAUGUGACGCAUCAAGGGACAGCAACGACCCUGUCGAAGACGUUCCCUCAGGAGGUGUGUGGUUCGACAGCACCACCCCAGGUUCACCUCCUGGUGCCCACCUGCGAGGAGAGCUCCACAGAGAGCCAGCUGGAGCUGGUUUGCCUCCUCCUGAGCUUCAAACCUGGCAACGCCAAUGUGAAAUGGCUGGUGAAUGGAAAGGAGAGCAGCCCCCCCACCCCGGCCUUUUCCUCUGCAAUGGGCACAGAUGGCUUCUACAUGGGGCAGAGCCGCAUGAAGGUCACCAAGCAGAGCUGGGAGAAGGGGGACGUCUACACCUGCCAAGUGAUCCACCCAGCAGUGGGAGCAGAGCUCUCCAUGCACAACACCAGCAAGUGCUUGGCCUGCCUCAGAAGCUCACUUGACCCAACCAUCUACUUAACUAAACCCUCCUAUGAAGACGUCAUCAAAAAUUCUGGUCGUGUUACCUGUCUAGUUCUGGGUUAUGACUCAGCGGCCAGCAGCAUCACAUGGAAAGUGGAUGGGCAAGUCAGCUCUGCGGCGAAGACAGAACCCCCCAAGAAGAACAGCAACGGGACCACCAGCCUAGUCAGUUCUCACCCUGUGUCGCUGGCACAAUGGGGACAAGGCACCCAAUUUACCUGCAAAGUGACCACACCCUGUUCUGUAGAACUAACCCAGGACAUAACCAUGGGCAACACAGGCAUCAGGAAGAAGGAGCCCUCAGUCACCAUCUCCAGAGCCUACCACGAAGACACCUCCGGGAAUAGAGUCUCUUUGACUCUUAUCUGCGAAGCUAGUGGCUUUUACCCAGAAGAGAUCAGCAUCUCAUGGUUGAAGAACAACUCCCCAGAACUCAAGUCGAGUUACAACAAUGGCCCCGUGUCAGGAAGUGGCAUUUUCUCUGCCUACAGCAUCCUGAAGGUUGACAAAAGUGGAGGAGCAGUAAAUUACACCUGCGUGGUGCAUCACCCGGCCAUGAAAGAGCCCAAGAGAGUUGUGGAAAAGGUGUCCCUCGAUUUCCUGGAGCCAUCUCCCCCAACAGUCACAGUCUUCCACACACCAGGCAUAGCUGGGCACGAGAAUCUGACCUGCUUUGCCACCGGCUUCUACCCAAAGCACCUAGACAUGCAAUGGACUGUCAACAAGCAGCAGCUCAAUUGCAGCUUUCCCUCCUCUCCGACGGCCCUGGGCGAUGGGAGGUUCCAGCAGAGCUGUCAGCUGGUGCUCAGAGCGGCUGAGUGGAGCACGCUGAAGACCUACACCUGCAUUGUGACCCAUAGCUCCACUAAGAUGACCCUGAAGACAGCGCUGCAGUCUACUGGCUGCCAGGAACCAGCAUUGCCAUCCGCCUACAUCCAGCCCCCAUCUUUGAAAGAGCUUUUCAUGAACGAGUCAGCUUCUGUGAUGUGCAAGACCUCCCUGGCCAAUGCCAGUAUCAGCUGGACAAAGGAUGGUGAGCUGGCGGACCUGGGAGCCGUGAGGAUGGAGCAGCUCAAGGGCAGCACCUGGCUGCAAAGUUGGCUGCAGGUCAACCUGAGUGAAUGGAACUCCACCGAGACCAUCAGAUGCCAGAUCAAGAGUGACCUGGCGGAGAAUGUGCUGAGCAUCAGCCCAAAGAAUGGUUCCUUGAAGGCUCCAACCAUCUACCUUCUGUCCCCAUCCUCAGAGGAAAUCUGCAGCAACCAAAACCUCACUCUUCACUGCAUCGUCAAAGACUUCUACCCUGGUGAGGUCUCCGUCUGGUGGCAGGAGAAGACAGCCCAGAUGGAGGUUGAUAUCCCAGCCGAUGACGAGAACCACAACUGUGACCAUAACAGCCAGCAGUGCUCAGUGAUCAGCAAGCUUGAGGUGUCCAGGAGCAGAUGGAUUCUGGGGACUUCCUACAGCUGUCUAGUUGCCCACCUCUCCUCUGAAGGGAUUAUAGCAAGAAAUGUCAAUGUUCAUACUGAGUCCUGGCACUGCUCCGUCCUGGGCAUCAACCCCUGCAGCAUCCGAGACGACAGCAUGGAUGACUACAGUGAGCUGGACGAUGCCCAAUGCGUGUGGACCACGGUCUCCACCUUCAUUGCCCUCUUCCUCAUCACGCUCUUCUACAGCGGAUUCGUCACCUUCAUCAAGGUGAAAUAGGUGCCACUCUCUCCACACUGUGAAGAAGAAGGAAUGGUGUCCAAUCUGCCCCUCUAUUUGCAGUUCUUUUGCCCACUUCCAUUUCCCUGCCUAUCCAUGGCGGCUGGCCUGACCUACAGGGUAGAUCAUCUGGCCAUGGUGAUCUCCCAUUCCUUCCAGAGACACAUGAAGAAAGAACAUCAAAGAAAGGCCUUCACUGUUCCCAUCCAUUUUAUGAAGGCCAAGAACUAUCCAUACUCCAUGCUAAGGGAGAGAAAGUGGGUAAAGACGUCUCCCAAAAAGAUUCCUUUGAUAGUUCUCUGUUCCUUCUCUCAGCCUUACCAUAUCAGCUCCCUAACCCCUCAAAAAAUUACCUGAGCUCCCCUCUGUGCUGCUAAAUCUUAUUCUGUACUACACCUCCUGAGAGUCUUAGAGGGUCACAGUUGUGGACCCAAUACACCCUCCCAUCUUUCACAGGGCUUCUAAGGUGGGAAACAAACCCCACUCCAUUCAAGGAUGCCAAGGGCCCUGGUACCUCCUAGGGUAAUACACACAUACCCCCGUUCUAGGACAGAGAUGGAGACAGUUGCAACAAUCUGCAUCCAGAAAAAGCCAGCUCACAACCACUCCAUGCUAUCCAACCUCACAAGAAUUCAUCCUCAUUCUGUUUCCCGACUCAACCCCCUGAGAGCCGAACCUAAUGCUGCAGAUCCCCCACUGCACCCCACAAGAACCCAGCCUAAUGCCAUUCCCCCCAGGAGGUCCCCACUCUACCCAACAAGAUCCUAACCCAAUGGUAUUGAUCCCUCAAGUUCCCCACAUAACCCCACAAGAACCCAACUCAAUACUGUUUCUUCUAACAAAGCCCCAACCCUACAAGACUCCAAACUAAUGCUCUUCCUCAAUAAAUUCUCCCACUCAAUGCUGGAAGAAUCCAAUCCAAAUGCAUUCCCUACCCAUCCCCAGGAGGUUCACGGCUACUCCCCCAACAAAAUCACAACCCAACCUGACAAGAACCUAACCCAUACAUCUUCCAAUCCAUACGUAGCCAAACUCCACUCUUCACUUUCCAGUCUGAGGCCAACUCCAAACACAGAUCUCUCAUGACUAAAUUCUAAGCUGUUU